GACGAACGCUGGCGGCGUGCCUAAUACAUGCAAGUCGAACGCUUUUUCUUUCACCGGAGCUUGCUCCACCGAAAGAAAAAGAGUGGCGAACGGGUGAGUAACACGUGGGUAACCUGCCCAUCAGAAGGGGAUAACACUUGGAAACAGGUGCUAAUACCGUAUAACACUAUUUUCCGCAUGGAAGAAAGUUGAAAGGCGCUUUUGCGUCACUGAUGGAUGGACCCGCGGUGCAUUAGCUAGUUGGUGAGGUAACGGCUCACCAAGGCAACGAUGCAUAGCCGACCUGAGAGGGUGAUCGGCCACACUGGGACUGAGACACGGCCCAGACUCCUACGGGAGGCAGCAGUAGGGAAUCUUCGGCAAUGGACGAAAGUCUGACCGAGCAACGCCGCGUGAGUGAAGAAGGUUUUCGGAUCGUAAAACUCUGUGUUAGAGAAGAACAAGGAUGAGAGUAGAACGU
This 460-nucleotide ribosomal RNA is filed under the name Enterococcus casseliflavus. Its description in RNAcentral is "bacterial SSU rRNA". It matches the Rfam family "Bacterial small subunit ribosomal RNA", at positions 28 to 467 of the family's 1533-position model. Lineage: Bacteria; Bacillati; Bacillota; Bacilli; Lactobacillales; Enterococcaceae. The record is from RNAcentral.